Molecule: small RNA, 167 nt
Filed under: Lysobacteraceae bacterium
Lineage: Bacteria; Pseudomonadati; Pseudomonadota; Gammaproteobacteria; Lysobacterales; Lysobacteraceae
Description: Xanthomonadaceae bacterium Manganese sequence
Rfam family: Manganese Mn2+ riboswitch aptamer (yybP-ykoY)
About the family: This RNA was originally discovered in E. coli during a large scale screen and was named SraF. The family was later found to exist upstream of related families of protein genes in many bacteria, including the the yybP and ykoK genes in B. subtilis.
Source: RNAcentral
CGCGCCGUCACUGGGGAGUAGCCGCCUCCGCACAGGAGGAGCCGACGUCAACAGACUUGGUCCACGGACCAUGGCGUCGGCGGCAGUAGCUGGGCGAGACCUUUGACUCUACGAUCCAAAGCCGGGGCCGGCGAUGGGUGGUCGAGUCAUUGGUUCCUUCUCGCCGG